GAAUGUGAGGGUGAUCUGGCUACAAUACCUGUUACCCCAUUGACCCCCAGAGUUGACUUGGCUGAUCUGACUGGUUAGGCUGGUAUCCACUUCCUCCCUCACCACUCCAUAUGUGUUCCUUCCAAAGUUGCACUUCAAAGAGGACAAACACCUCCAAAAGACCAUGUCUAAGAGGUAAAGGGUAUACAAGUGGCUGUACUCCCCUAUUAGAGCUUCCAAAUAAACUCUCGAGGUCUAAAAAAAAAAAAACAAGCAGAGAUGGAGACACUGUCACAGACCAGAGGAAACUAACUAAAUAUGAUGACUAAAUGCAAUGU
Non-coding RNA from Cavia porcellus (domestic guinea pig), 317 nucleotides. It matches the Rfam family "7SK RNA". From Rfam's summary of the family: 7SK was discovered as an abundant small nuclear RNA in the mid-70s but a possible function has only recently been suggested. Two independent studies have found that 7SK RNA binds the CDK9/cyclin T complex (known as elongation factor P-TEFb). Lineage: Eukaryota; Metazoa; Chordata; Mammalia; Rodentia; Caviidae. The record is from Rfam.